UACGUAGGGUGCAAGCGUUAAUCGGAAUUACUGGGCGUAAAGCGUGCGCAGGCGGCUAUGCAAGACAGAUGUGGAAAUCCCCGGGCUCAACCUGGGAACUGCAUUUGUGACUGCAUGGCUAGAGUACGGUAGAGGGGGAUGGAAUUCCGCGUGUAGCAGUGAAAUGCGUAGAUAUGCGGAGGAACACCGAUGGCGAAGGCAAUCCCCUGGGCCUGCACUGACGCUCAUGCACGAAAGCGUGGGGAGCAAACAGG
RNAcentral lists this ribosomal RNA (254 nucleotides) under uncultured bacterium. RNAcentral's name for it is "partial 16S ribosomal RNA". It matches the Rfam family "Bacterial small subunit ribosomal RNA", at positions 524 to 776 of the family's 1533-position model. The record is from RNAcentral.